Molecule: ribosomal RNA, 468 nt
Filed under: uncultured bacterium
Lineage: Bacteria
Description: partial 16S ribosomal RNA
Rfam family: Bacterial small subunit ribosomal RNA
Source: RNAcentral
GACGAACGCUGGCGGCGUGCUUAACACAUGCAAGUCGAACGGAAAGGCCCUGCUUUUGUGGGGUGCUCGAGUGGCGAACGGGUGAGUAACACGUGAGUAACCUGCCCUUGACUUUCGGAUAACUUCAGGAAACUGGGGCUAAUACAGGAUAGGAGCUCCUGCUGCAUGGUGGGGGUUGGAAAGUUUCGGCGGUUGGGGAUGGUCUCGCGGCUUAUCCGCUUGUUGGUGGGGUAGUGGCUUACAAAGGUUUUGACGGGUAGCCGGCAUGGGCGGGGGACCGGCCACAUUGGGACUGAGCUACGGCCCAGACUCCUACGGGAGGCAGCAGUGGGGAAUAUUGCACAAUGGGCGGAAGCCUGAUGCAGCAACGCCGCGUGCGGGAUGACGGCCUUCGGGUUGUAAACCGCUUUCGCCUGUGACGAAGCGUGAGUGACGGUAAUGGGUAAAGAAGCACCGGCUAACUACGUG